AUGGUGGUCUCCCAGUACAUGGCGGCGGCGCCGGGGGACUGGAUGCGGGUGAGCUGCGAGUCCUCCAGGCGCGCCAGGAGGCCGCUCCGCUGGCUGAAGAACCCCGUGAGGCCGUGCCGGAUCACCUCCGCCGUGCCGUCGCUCCAGCUCGACAGCGUGGACGGCCCCACGUCGAGGCGCAGCACGAAGCAGUCCUCCCCGUCGACCUGCUUCUCGCCGGCGUGCUCCGCCGUCGAGAAGAUGGACGCGAUCAUCACCGGGUCCAGGCCCUGCAUGUGCAUGGACAAGAUCGACAUUCAAUUCGAAACCACAUCAUAG
Molecule: ribosomal RNA, 318 nt
Filed under: Triticum aestivum (bread wheat)
Lineage: Eukaryota; Viridiplantae; Streptophyta; Magnoliopsida; Poales; Poaceae
Description: partial small subunit ribosomal RNA
Source: RNAcentral